RNAcentral lists this ribosomal RNA (501 nucleotides) under uncultured bacterium. RNAcentral describes it as "partial 16S ribosomal RNA". It matches the Rfam family "Bacterial small subunit ribosomal RNA", at positions 30 to 523 of the family's 1533-position model. The record is from RNAcentral.
AUUGAACGCUGGCGGCAGGCUUAACACAUGCAAGUCGAGCGGGGGAAGGUAGCUUGCUACCGGACCUAGCGGCGGACGGGCGAGUAAUGCUUAGGAAUCUGCCUAUUAGUGGGGGACAACAUCUCGAAAGGGAUGCUAAUACCGCAUACGUCCUACGGGAGAAAGCAGGGGAUCUUCGGACCUUGCGCUAACAGAUGAGCCUAAGUCGGAUUAGCUAGUUGGUGGGGUAAAGGCCUACCAGGGCGACGAUCUGUAGCGGGUCUGAGAGGAUGAUCCGCCACACUGGGACUGAGACACGGCCCAGACUCCUACGGGAGGCAGCAGUGGGGAAUAUUGGACAAUGGGGGGAACCCUGAUCCAGCCAUGCCGCGUGUGUGAAGAAGGCCUUAUGGUUGUAAAGCACUUUAAGCGAGGAGGAGGCUACUUUAGUUAAUACCUAGAGAUAGUGGACGUUACUCGCAGAAUAAGCACCGGCUAACUCUGUGCCAGCAGCCGCCGUAA